CCUACGGGAGGCAGCAGUGGGGGAUAUUGGGCAAUGGGCGCAAGCCUGACCCAGCAACGCCGCGUGAAGGAAGAAGGCACUCGGUUUGUAACCUUCUUUUAUUCGGGACGAUACAACUGACGGUACCGAAUGAAUAAGCCACGGCUAACUACGUGCCAGCCGCCGCGGUAAUACAUAGGUGGCAAGCUUUAUCCGGAUGUACUGGGUGAAACGGGCGUGUAGGCGGGAGAGCAAGUCAGACGUGAAAUUCCAGGGCUCAACCCUGGAACUGCGUUUGAAACUGUGCUUCUUGAGUGAUGGAGAGGCAGGCUGAAGUCCAUGUGUAGCGGUGAAAUGCUUAGAUAUACGGAGGAACACCAGUGGCGAAGGCGGCCUGCUGGACAUUAACGGACGCGGAGGCGCGAAAGCGUGGGGAGCAAACAGGAUGAGAUACCCCGGUAGUC
Molecule: ribosomal RNA, 443 nt
Filed under: uncultured bacterium
Lineage: Bacteria
Description: partial 16S ribosomal RNA
Rfam family: Bacterial small subunit ribosomal RNA
Source: RNAcentral